Molecule: small nucleolar RNA, 106 nt
Organism: Tupaia belangeri (northern tree shrew)
Lineage: Eukaryota; Metazoa; Chordata; Mammalia; Scandentia; Tupaiidae
Source: Ensembl
AUCCUUUUGUAAUUCAUAAGCAUGAUGAUUAGGUUUUCACACCACUGUGUGAGACGUGUCUCCCUCAAACCUUGUUAUGAGACGUUGGUACUGUACCCACCUGAUG